GGGCCUGCCGUGUGCCUCCAACUGGGAUUGAUGGAUCCUUGUCUUCGACAUCUCAUGAGCAGUACCUGUCACUGGUGACCGUUCAAGGUGGACUGCAUUCCUGUCGUCAGUGCACCUAUGUGACCAAGUACAAAGGGAACAUGCAACAACAUCUUUGCAACCAUACGGGCGUGCGCCCCUUUAAGUGCCAUCUGUGUCCAGCUACAUUCUCUCGGGACUCUCACCUGACGAGGCACAUUCAUACGCACUCAGGAAAGCGUCCCUUCUCCUGUGACCAGUGUAGGGCAUCGUUCAGACAUAAAACGAACCUUGUGGACCAUGUGCGCACCCACACAGGGGAGCGUCCCUUUUCCUGUGACCAGUGCGAUGCAUCAUUUGUGCGGGCGCAGCACCUCAAUCGCCACAUGUACAUCCACAGAGGCGAGCGUCCCUUUUCCUGUCACCACUGUAGUGCAUCCUUCUCACAGAAUCAGAAACUCAUGAACCAUCUAUCUCGUCAUCAUGCAAACAGGAAGCCUUAAAAAGUGAGUGGUCCACAGCCUUCUCAAGAGAAGUGGAGUGCAAGGUAAUAGGGGUAUUGUUGAUUAGAGAGGCUGCGGGGUAAAAGUAGAUUGAGACUUGGCAAGUAACUUGGUUUGGCAAUUCUCGAAGGAAUAUGCAUGUGUUUGUGGGACGAAAGGCGAGUGGUAGAAGAGUGUGUAAAAGAGAGGCCACCUUGGGAUAUGAAUAUACAUACUACCUUGCACUUCUUUUGGGUAACACUUCCUCCGUGAGAACUGAUGAACGGCCGCAGGCACUAAGAACAUCCCCUAUACAUUUCUAAGCAUUAUUGUCUGUUCCCUUUAAUAUUGUGUUAAAAAAGAGAACAAGCCCUUAAGUAUACACUUCGAAAAUUUGCAGGGUCACUUACACAUUGCUUAAAAGCAACUGAGGAACAAAAGCCAUCUCUGUUAUCUCUGUCCAGGUAUUGAUCCUUCCAUGGCAUGCUAAUCCACCCUGAAAGCUUCCUGCAUAGUUUUGCACUGCCUCUGUGAUCAGCCCGCUAUCGAACGAUUGACAGUGUCAUGUGAUACGGUCAUCACGUUAUGUGGUGUCACAAAUUGUGGUGACAUGUGACACGACGAUUUUUUGUACCACUCAUGUCAAUGUCAAUACCAUUGAAUGCCGAUAGUCAGUUCUCGCGUUUGAUGAGACAUCCAAGGCCUCCCACCUUUAGAGAUGCCUAGAACGUGUUCUGUCCUAGAUGGCUUAUUGGUUUUCAUGAGUUGAUGAGAAAGUAUGACAAAAAUAUGGGAAGUGAGGGUGAGGGAUGGAGUAGCUAGCAUAGUGUAUGCUGGUUCCUGAGUGAGCCACUUCACUUAUGAACUGAUGACUUCGCACUCAGGGUUGAAGCAGAGAAAGAUUGCCAUGCCUGCUUGUUGUUGGUAGCAGAGGAAGAGCACUGCAGUGAAAUAAUGAAACAAAUAUGCUGUGCAUCUAGAGGAAGCAUAAGCAGUUGUCAUGCAAGAUAUCAGUGGCAUCUCCAUAACCUUUUCGCAUCCUACACGUCAUGUGUGUCUGACUCAGUUUUCACCCUAAUGUACUAUGCUUGUAUAUGGGGUGUCAUAUGUGUUAUUAAAAUAAUGAUUUUUUAUUAAA
RNAcentral lists this long non-coding RNA (1638 nucleotides) under Rhipicephalus microplus (southern cattle tick). Its description in RNAcentral is "uncharacterized LOC119183279". The record is from RNAcentral. Lineage: Eukaryota; Metazoa; Arthropoda; Arachnida; Ixodida; Ixodidae.